Molecule: ribosomal RNA, 960 nt
Filed under: uncultured bacterium
Lineage: Bacteria
Description: bacterial SSU rRNA
Rfam family: Bacterial small subunit ribosomal RNA
Source: RNAcentral
AGAGUUUGAUCAUGGCUCAGGACGAACGCUGGCGGCGUGCCUAGUACAUGCGAGUCGUACGGCUGCGAAAGCUGCCAGUUGGCAGACGCUCGAGUAACACGUGGGCAACCUACCCCCAAGCGGCGGACAUUCGGCCGAAAGGCCGGUAAAUCCGCCAUGUGGUCGCCUGGCACUAGGCCUGGCGGCUAAAGCCGAUGAGGCGUUUGGGGAGGGACCCGCGGCCCAUCAGGUCGUUGGUGGGGUAACGGCCCACCAAGCCGAUGACGGGUAGCUGGUCUGAGAGGACGGCCAGCCUUGCGGGGACUGAGACAGGGCCCCGACUCCUACGGGAGGCAGCAGUAUGGGAUCUUGCGCAAUGGGCGAAAGCCUGACGCAGCGACGCCGCGUGGAGGAAGAAGGCCUUCGGGUCGUAAACUCCUUUUGCCGAGGAAGAAGGCCCGAUACCAGCGCUCGAGAGCGGGCCAUUAGCGUCCGAAGCUGAUGGCCGGAGCGAUGGUUCACGUCGGGCUUGACGGUACCCGGCGAAUAAGCCCCGACCAACUACGUGUCAGCAGUCGCGGCAAUACGUGGGGGGCGAGCGUUGUCCGGAUUCAUUGGGCGUAAAGAGCGCGUAGGUGGUGGCACCCGUCGGCCGUGAAAGCCCUCGGCUCAACCGAGGAAGGGCGGCCGAUACCGUGUCGCUUGGAGGACGGCAGGGGGAGGCGGAACUCCCGGUGGAGCGGUAAUAUGCGUUGAUAUCGGGAAGAACCUCAGUGGCGAAGGCGGCCUCCUAGACCGUUCCUGACGCUGAGGCGCGAAGGCGUGGGGAGCGAGCGGGAUUAGGAAACCCCGUUAGUCCGCGCAGUAAACGAUGGGCACUAGGUCCGGGGGGCAUUGACCCCUUCCGGGUCGAAGCUAACGCGUUAAGUGCCCCGCCUGGGGACAUACGGCCGCAAGGCUGAAACUCAAAUGAAUUGACGG